Molecule: ribosomal RNA, 478 nt
Filed under: uncultured bacterium
Lineage: Bacteria
Description: partial 16S ribosomal RNA
Rfam family: Bacterial small subunit ribosomal RNA
Source: RNAcentral
GACGAACGCUGGCGGCGUGCUUAACACAUGCAAGUCGAACGGUAAGGCCCUUCGGGGUACACGAGUGGCGAACGGGUGAGUAACACGUGGGUGAUCUGCCCUGCACUUCGGGAUAAGCCCGGGCAACUGGGUCUAAUACCGGAUAGGACCACUGCAUGCAUGGGGGGUGGUGGAAAGCUUUUGCGGUGUGGGAUGGGCCCGCGGCCUAUCAGCUUGUUGGUGGGGUGAUGGCCUACCAAGGCGACGACGGGUAGCCGGCCUGAGAGGGUGACCGGCCACACUGGGACUGAGAUACGGCCCAGACUCCUACGGGAGGCAGCAGUGGGGAAUAUUGCACAAUGGGCGCAAGCCUGAUGCAGCGACGCCGCGUGAGGGAUGACGGCCUUCGGGUUGUAAACCUCUUUCAGCACCGACGAAGCGCAAGUGACGGUAGGUGCAGAAGAAGGACCGGCCAACUACGUGCCAGCCGCCGCAGUAA